This 72-nucleotide transfer RNA is filed under the name Bos taurus (domestic cattle). It matches the Rfam family "tRNA". Rfam says of the family: Transfer RNA (tRNA) molecules are approximately 80 nucleotides in length. RNAcentral also lists the same sequence under 4 other names. Lineage: Eukaryota; Metazoa; Chordata; Mammalia; Artiodactyla; Bovidae. The record is from Rfam by way of RNAcentral.
UCCUUGGUAGCUCAGUUGGUAAAGAAUCUGCCUGCAAUGCAGGAGACCCAGAUUCAAUCCCUGGGUGGGGAA